UUUGGAGGCCUUAGUUGGUGGUUUUGUGAAUGGAAAUGGUGGUUGGUUUACGAUCUUGGUUGGUGGAGCAAUGGUGGAUCAUGCUGGGGGAUUUCGGUUGGAAAAGGACGAGAUUUAAGAGUUGUUUUAGUCGGUUGUUUGGUGGGUUUCUGGGAAUGGAGAAGAGAAGAGGGAGAGGGAGUCCCGGUUGGAGAGAAGAGGGGUGGUUGUGG
This 212-nucleotide unclassified non-coding RNA is filed under the name Hevea brasiliensis (rubber tree). The record is from RNAcentral. Lineage: Eukaryota; Viridiplantae; Streptophyta; Magnoliopsida; Malpighiales; Euphorbiaceae.